AGCGAACGCUGGCGGCAGGCCUAACACAUGCAAGUCGAACGAACUCUUCGGAGUUAGUGGCGGACGGGUGAGUAACACGUGGGAACGUGCCUUUUGGUUCGGAAUAACUCAGGGAAACUUGUGCUAAUACCGAAUGUGCCCUUCGGGGGAAAGAUUUAUCGCCAUUAGAGCGGCCCGCGUCUGAUUAGCUAGUUGGUGGGGUAACGGCUCACCAAGGCGACGAUCAGUAGCUGGUCUGAGAGGAUGACCAGCCACACUGGGACUGAGACACGGCCCAGACUCCUACGGGAGGCAGCAGUGGGGAAUCUUGCGCAAUGGGCGAAAGCCUGACGCAGCCAUGCCGCGUGAAUGAUGAAGGUCUUAGGAUUGUAAAAUUCUUUCACCGGGGACGAUAAUGACGGUACCCGGAGAAGAAGCCCCGGCUAACUUCGU
This 432-nucleotide ribosomal RNA is filed under the name uncultured bacterium. RNAcentral's name for it is "partial 16S ribosomal RNA". It matches the Rfam family "Bacterial small subunit ribosomal RNA", at positions 29 to 506 of the family's 1533-position model. The record is from RNAcentral.